This 110-nucleotide small RNA is filed under the name Marmota monax (woodchuck). The record is from RNAcentral. Lineage: Eukaryota; Metazoa; Chordata; Mammalia; Rodentia; Sciuridae.
GCCAGGGGCUCUGUGGCGUGAACCUGCAACCUCAGCUACUUAGGAGGCUGAGGCAGGAGGAUCUCAAGGUUCAAGGUCAGCCUGAACAACUUAGGAAGAUUCUGUCUCAA